Molecule: ribosomal RNA, 253 nt
Filed under: uncultured bacterium
Lineage: Bacteria
Description: partial 16S ribosomal RNA
Rfam family: Bacterial small subunit ribosomal RNA
Source: RNAcentral
GACGGAGGAUGCAAGCGUUAUCCGGAAUGAUUGGGCGUAAAGCGUCCGCAGGUGGCAGUUCAAGUCUGCUGUCAAAGACCGGGGCUUAACUUCGGAAAGGCAGUGGAAACUGAAGCGCUAGAGUGCGGUAGGGGUAGAGGGAAUUCCCGGUGUAGCGGUGAAAUGCGUAGAGAUCGGGAAGAACAUCGGUGGCGAAAGCGCUCUACUGGACCGCAACUGACACUCAGGGACGAAAGCUAGGGGAGCGAAUGGG